RNAcentral lists this ribosomal RNA (253 nucleotides) under uncultured bacterium. RNAcentral's name for it is "partial 16S ribosomal RNA". It matches the Rfam family "Bacterial small subunit ribosomal RNA", at positions 524 to 776 of the family's 1533-position model. The record is from RNAcentral.
UACGUAGGGGGCAAGCGUUGUCCGGAAUCAUUGGGCGUAAAGAGCGUGUAGGCGGCUCGAUAAGUCUGCUGUGAAAGUCCAGGGCUCAACCCUGGAAGGCCGGUGGAAACUGUCGGGCUAGAGUCCGGAAGAGGCGAGUGGAAUUCCCGGUGUAGCGGUGAAAUGCGCAGAUAUCGGGAGGAACACCAAUGGCGAAGGCGGCACUCUGGGCCGGUACUGACGCUGAGGAGCGAAAGCGUGGGGAGCAAACAGG